UACGUAGGGGGCAAGCGUUGUCCGGAUUUACUGGGCGUAAAGAGCGUGUAGGCGGUCAAUCAGGUCCGUUGUGAAAACUGGAGGCUUAACCUCCAGACGUCGACGGAAACCGCGUGGCUAGAGUCCGGAAGAGGAGAGUGGAAUUCCUGGUGUAGCGGUGAAAUGCGCAGAUAUCAGGAAGAACACCAAUGGCGAAGGCAGCUCUCUGGGACGGUACUGACGCUGAGACGCGAAAGCGUGGGGAGCGAACAGG
RNAcentral lists this ribosomal RNA (253 nucleotides) under uncultured bacterium. RNAcentral describes it as "partial 16S ribosomal RNA". It matches the Rfam family "Bacterial small subunit ribosomal RNA", at positions 524 to 776 of the family's 1533-position model. The record is from RNAcentral.